UACGUAGGGUGCGAGCGUUGUCCGGAAUUACUGGGCGUAAAGGGCUCGUAGGUGGUUUGUCGCGUUGUUCGUGAAAACCUGAGGCUUAACCUUGGGCGUGCGGGCGAUACGGGCAGACUGGAGUACUGCAGGGGAGACUGGAAUUCCUGGUGUAGCGGUGGAAUGCGCAGAUAUCAGGAGGAACACCUGCGGUGUAGACGGCUUACUGGACCAUAACUGACGCUGAGGCACGAAAGCGUGGGUAGCAAACAGG
RNAcentral lists this ribosomal RNA (253 nucleotides) under uncultured bacterium. RNAcentral describes it as "partial 16S ribosomal RNA". It matches the Rfam family "Bacterial small subunit ribosomal RNA", at positions 524 to 776 of the family's 1533-position model. The record is from RNAcentral.